AACAUUAAUCCUUGUGCCCACCCACCAAAAUGGCUCCUUUAUGGGGCAAUUCUAGGUGUUUGACGUGAAGUUAUUUACACACCUGGAAUUAAGCCUUCAUUGAGAUAAGUUGUAGAUGUCUUUCUGUGCACCGUGUGCGUGAAACAGAUCAAGAAAGAGUGCGUGUUCUAUAGCAGUGAAGAAUCGAUCGAGUUCCUGAAGAAAAAAUUAUACAGGACGGCCGGUUGGUGUAAUAGUUCGCUUGCUGAACAAAAAUCUGUACAGACUUGAUAUACAAUGACCAAAGGGAAAAAUAUUGGUUUUUAAUAACUACAAAAUAAAUGAAUAAGAGAAACUACUAAUAGUGGUACUUAAAAAUGUCCUGAGUAAAGUUUGAUGAAAAGAUUUUUAUUUUCACACUUAAUUAUAUAAAUGAUAUAAUCAAAUUAAGCUUUAAAAAUGGCAAGAAAAAGUGAUAAUAUCAAAACCAUCAAUGUUGCUAUUGUUGGUCUUUCUGGUACAGAGAAAGAUAAGGGGCAAGUUGGUGUGGGAAAAUCAUGUCUGUGUAAUCGUUUUAUGCGUUCUUUGAACGAUGAUUAUAAUGUGGACCAUAUAUCAGUGUUAUCACAGUCAGAUUUUAGUGGUCGGGUGGUGAAUAAUGAUCAUUUCCUAUAUUGGGGUGAAGUUACAAAAACAGCAGAAGAUGGAACAGAAUAUCAAUUUCAAGUAAUAGAACAUACAGAAUUUAUAGAUGAUGCAUCUUUUCAACCUUUUAAAGGUGGUAAAAUGGAACCUUAUGCAAAAAGAUGUGCAGCCACAAAAAUUACUAGUGCAGAAAAGCUUAUGUAUAUUUGCAAAAAUCAAUUAGGCAUAGAAAAAGAAUAUGAACAAAAAGUUUUACCAGAUGGUAAAUUAAACAUUGAUGGCUUUUUGUGUGUAUUUGAUGUAAGUGUUGUACCAAAUAGAUCUAUAGAAAAACAGGUUGAAAUAGUAGCAAAUAUAUUGAAUAAUUUAAUGAAAACUAAAAAACCAAUAGUUUUGGUAACAACCAAAAAUGAUGAUGCUAAUGAACAAUAUGUAAAAGAAGCUGAAAAAUUAGUGAUGCGUAAAGAAUACAAAGGUUCCAUAUUAAUAAUUGAAACAUCUGCACAUGAAAAUAUAAAUAUUGAUUUGGCAUUUAUGAUUUUGGCUCAAUUGAUUGAUAAAACCAAAAUGCGAAGUAAAGUUAUUCCAUUUGCGGAAGCGGCAAGAGCUAGAAAGGAAUUAUUAGAUGCAUCAACAGAAUCUUUACAAAGAUUGAUUCGAAUACAUGUUACUGAUUAUAGAGCAUUGUGGUCUCAAGCAUCUAAAAAAUUAGCUCAACACAAAGAAUUUUCAACAUUUGUUGAAUUAUUUGGUAUUGAUGCAACUCAAAGAUUAUUUAGGAGACAUAUUAAAAAAUUGAAAGAUGAACAAGUAGCAAAAAAAAUCCAAGGAUAUUUGGAUAUGUUACCUGAUAUUCUUCAUGAAAUAUGUCCUGAUAUAACAAAUUUGAUCAAUGAAGAAUGGUCUGCAGUACAACAAUAUAUAAAAGAACAUCCUGAUUUUCAUCAAUAUUUCUAUGAAUGUCCUGAGGAUAUCCCAUGGAUUGAUUGUGAUUUUGGUGAAAACAAUGGAACAAAAAUUCCUUAUGAUGUCUUAGAAACACCAGAAGCUGAAACUGUUUUCAAAAAUCAUAUAAAUGUAUUGCAACAGGAACAGCGGCGAUUAGAACUUCCUAAAAGAUGGAAAAAACAGUUUAAACAGUUAUUGGAAGAAACUGGUUAUGUUACACCUGGAAAACAUUUAUCUGAAGUUAGAGUUCUUUUUAUGGGUAGAGAAUGUUUUGAAGCUCUUUCUCACCAUGAUUGUCAAGAAAUAUAUGAUCAACAUCAAAAAGAAAUUAUUGAAAAAGCAAAACAUAAUUUCCAGGAACUAUUGCUAGAACAUGCUGAUUUAUUCUAUCAUUUCAAAAGUAUAGCACCAUCUGGUACUAUAACACAAGAUGAUAUUAAAGAAAUUACAGAUGCAUUAGUGGAUGAUUUUAGAUAUAAAGCCUUAGAUAGAUUAGAUCAAGAUAGAAAAUUAAUGCUAUUUCAACAUUUGGGUUUUGUACAUUGUCCUAUAAGAGAACAUUGUCCAGCUUAUCCAAAUUGUAUGGAUGCACUUAUAGAACGAAUACUUGGAACAAAAGCUCACAGACCUUCUUCAUGGAAUCACAGUAGUCAGUGGCAAUUAACAUCUGAUAAUAAUCAAUUAAAUUUAGUUAUACUUGGAAGCAAUGGACUUGGUGAGGAAUUCGCUCGUGAAAUAAGAGCACAAACAGAAGAUGAUGAAGUAGAAAUUGAUUGUCAGUUGUAUACGCUUGGAUAUCGAAUAAUCGAUGGUGAUGUUGGAUUACCACAUAAUUCAUUUACUACUUCAGACUUCAUGCCUCAUGGUUCAUUUUGUAUUUAUGCAAAUGAGGAUUCAUUUGAAUAUAUUCGUUCUUCUUUAGAAAAAACUUUAUUGUCGAAUUUAGAACAAGAAGAUAGAUUACCAUUUCAAGGAUUACCUAUUGUUAUUAUGUUUGUACCAGAGUCAACAAUAGAUGAAAUGGAAGCAAUACGACUUAGGAAAGAGGGUCAAAAUCUUGCUGAUAGUUUGCAGUGUCCAUUUAUUGAUGUUUGCAUAGAAGAUUUGGAGCAAGAUAAAAGAUUUCCUACUUUACUUGUGAAAGAUGCAUUACAGCAACUUAUACAAUCUAUAAAUCACAGAGCUGGUUUUUUAAAUAUUUACCAAAGUGUUAUUGAAUGUUUAGAACCAGAUAUUAGAAUAAUAAUGUGUAUGUUCUGUGGAGAUCCAUACUCUGUGGAAAACGUACUUGGUCCCUUACUCAAUCAUCAAUGUUGUUUUCUUAGUGGUGAUCGAUCGAUUGUUUUAGAAACAUUUCUAGGAGAAUCGAAACGAAGAGUUGAAGUUAUUAUUUCAAGUUUUCACGGAGCAAAUGCAUUUAGAGAUGAAUUAGUACAUGGUUUUAUACUCGUUUAUUCUACAAAAAGAAAAGCAUCACUUGCAACUCUUAACGCAUUUUCUAUGAAUAUACCAAAUUUACCAAUACAAAUAAUGGCUGUGACUGAUACUGGAGGUGCUAAUGCUUUCUUCAGUAAUGAUUUAAGUCAUUUACUUAUCACAGAGGGAAAUGCAAUUGCGGAUAAAUUGCAAGCACAUUUUAUGACUUCGGCAUCUAGUUGCCAACAAAAAACGGCAUUCUAUACACCAUUCUUUAAAGAAGUAUGGGAAAAGAAACCCGAAAUUGAACAGGCAUUUAAUAUGGAAGAACCAGGUAAUCUAAAUGAUAGCGGUGAAGGAACUUUGGAAUAUUCUGCAUUACAUCCUAUGCCACCACCACGUCACGAAAGUUAUCACCUUCAAACACCAGAUGAUGGUAUGUCUGUAACUUUCAGAAGUGGUUCUGAAUCUUAUGAACAAUUAACUCCCGAUGGUGAUCUUGGAGAUACAGGAUUAAACGAGCAGUUUGCAGACAAUAGAGCUACACCUAGUGAUGAUAGUGAUAUUUAUAGCCAAGUAGAUUUUUAUAGAGAAGAAAGAGAAAGAGAUUUGUUAAAACCAGGAGAUAUUACAAACAAAUUAUCUGGAUGGGUGAAAGAUACAUUUAUGCCUCAAGAUGGAGUAACUAAUAGUUACUCUCACAGAGCUUUCACAACAGGUAGAAGACAUAUUUCUCAGGCAAAGCCGCGUCCAAAAGGAAACAGUCAAACUUUAAAACAACCUGGUAAAAUAAAUUUGAAAGAUUUUUCAAAUGUGACGGAUGCUAUAGCUAGAAUGACAGUAGGAGAAAAAGAUGAACAUGGUUCUAAAAUAAGUAUGGGUCAUGCUCCACUUGCUACUCCUGAAUUAGAUCUAGGUUCCGAAUAUGCGCAAGUAAAAGAUGUUGUACAAAGUUUAUAUCCUUAUGAUGGUGAUUAUAUGUAUGCCUCAGUACAAGAUUCUGUCGGAAAUAAUAAGCCCAAGUUACGUCAUAGACGUGAAAAAGGACAACCUUCAUACAGUGAUUCUGAUUCUGAAUGGAGUUCUUUGGAAAGACAAAGAAUUGCUGAUAUUUCAGGUAAAGCAAAUAAAAAACCACCAUCGCAUAAAAGGAUACGAAAAAAACGUACACCUAUAUUUGUUGCGUCACCUAAAGUACCAUCUAGUAUGGGAAGUGGAGAUAGCAUUGGUUUGAAUUAUAAUGUUAAAGAAAUAAAACCGCGAAUAAAUCCCACAGAAAGAGAAUCCAGUGAAACAAAUUCUUCUGAAUCAAGUGAUCCAGAACAUACUUCAAGAUUGAGAGCCAAACAUAAUAAGCAUACUACUGCUGCUAUCUCACGAAGGAAAUUUGGAAAUUCAUUACCACAACAACAUCCAACUUCCAAUAAAGAGAUGUUUAGUGCUUCCUAUGAAUCCAGUUUAGAUGUUUCAUCUCCACGAGAAAUUAAUUCUCCCAGUGUCAAAGAUGGCGAUAAGUUAAAUAGGAAAAAGGAUAAACAAAAAGCAAAAGAAGAUGAGAAGUUAGAAAAGCGUCGUCAAAAAGAAGAAAAGUUAAAAAAACAUGCGGAAAAGGAAAAGGAAAGAGAGAAAAAAAAGCAAGAAAAAACAAAACAAACUAAAGGUCCUAGUUCAACAUUAAGUCUGAGUCAAAUGCAACAACCAUUAAUUGAAGAUUUUGCACAAAGUGAAACAAAUCGAAUACCUCUAUUUCUUGAAAAAUGUGUGCAAUUUAUUGAAGAUGAAGGAUUAGAUUCUGAAGGUAUAUAUAGGGUUCCUGGAAAUAGAGCACACGUUGAACUCCUUUUUCAAAAGUUUGAAGAAGACGGAAAUGUGGACAUACAUUCGUUGGAUAUACCAGUAAAUGCUGUUGCAACUGCUUUGAAAGAUUUCUUCUCAAAAAGGCUACCACCAUUAAUUGAUAAAGAACGAAUGAGCGAACUUGAGGAUAUCUCGGGUGCUCGUGGUAUUAGCAAACCAAUGUCUGCAACAUGUAUGAAUAUGGAAGAUCGAAGCUGCAGAUUAUUAGCAUUACGUUUGAUGCUUAACAAAUUGAAGCCAGUUAAUUUUGAUGUACUUAAAUUUAUUUUUCAUCAUUUUGUAAAAGUGGCUGAAAAUUGUAAGCUGAACAGUAUGGAUAGUAAAAAUUUGGCAAUCUGCUGGUGGCCUACUUUAUUACCAAUAGAAUUUAACGAUCUUGGCAGAUUCGAAGCAAUGAGACCAUACUUGGAAGACGUUGUUCAAACAAUGAUAGAUCAAUAUCCUUUCUUAUUUUGUGGUGAAGAAGCUAUCGUAAUGGUGUAGUGAAAGAUUACAUUAUUUCGAAUCGUACAAUUAGAGCUUGUACGAAUAAUAAGAAAUAAUUUCGUAUUAAUACGAUACGGAUUAUUUCUAUAACGUUUAGUCCUUACGAUCAUGAAUAAUGAUUUAUCUUGCUAUAUUUGUAUAUCAUGACUUCAUCGUAGUGCAUUACUACGAUUAGGAUAAUUUUCAUGACUCGAAAAAGACGAACAAAUUAAUUUAAGUUUACAUACUCGUUCCAUUGCAAAGUGUGACUGACAGAGUGAUAGAUUGAUGGUCCUAAUGAUGGCUAUUUGCAGGCCCGAUAAUAAUGCGAAUAAUAAAAAGUCAAUCCAUGUGUCAUAACAGUAUGCAUGUAUCAUGUUGGAUGUAUUCAGAGCGAUGUAUUUAUUAAUAUGUAAUUAGAGGUAAGUCUUAAUAUUUGAUAAUAGCGAUUAUAGUAGUGAACUCGAUGUUGCUUUUUUUAUCUGAUUUUUUUUUUUAUUUUUCAUUUUGUUCUUACAUUUUUCUAUAGAUAAAAAUUUUUUUAUUGUAUGUAAUGUAUGUCUGAGAAUGAAUGUAUGAGAGAAAGAGAGAGAGAGAUAAAAAAAUAAGAGGGAAAGAUAAAAAGCGAGACAAUGGCGCAAUCUCUUAAAAGAAUAUUUGUAUUCUAAAGCGUGUUAAAGAUAUCAUAAAAUGUAUGAGGUAUACAAUUUCUCUAAUUCAUGUGAUUUUUAUAUAGCAACGAUAUCAAAAAAUUUGAAAUAUCUCUGCAAUUAAUUUUUUCUUGAUUAAUAUUUGUUUUUAGUCUAUCAGAAAAUAUCUUUAAUUUGCAUCUAAUAUAUUUCUGUAUAUUGAUGAAUUUUUUUUCAAAUCAGUAUUUCAGAAUACUUAAUUUGAUUUAAUAAUUUGAUUAAACUUAUUACAGUGAUACAGUGCACAAUAUAUCCAUUCUUAAUUUGAUUUAAUAGAAUUAUUUAAGUUCGUCGGUGAUACAGUGCAUAAUAUAUCCAUUCCGUCUGAAUGAAAAAGAAAAACGAGCAAAAAAGAAAAAAAAAAAAUGAAGAAAUUGAAAAGCGUUACAUGUAUUUGCAAUUUUUUCAAGAUGUGCAGUGAAUAAGCGUUUAUGUCAAGAAGAUUGUAAGGAUAUUGAUAUGGUUCUAAUUAUUAAGGUAAAUCUUGAAGAUUUUCGGAUUAUAACAGAUCUGAUGGAAAUACUAAAUGCUAAGAACAAUACUUAGAUUCUCACAAACAUUUUUCCAAGUUUCAUAAAGCGAACGUGUACAUAAGAUUAUAAGAUUGUAAGCUAUGAAAAGUUUAUAAUGAGAAUCGUGAAAAUCGAUUAUCGAUACUUUCGAGAUUAUUCAGUGGUCGCCAUGACCGUGAGUUUACACAAAUCGCUUUUAUCUUUUUUUAUGCGAUGCAUAAUGUAUUUGAAAAAUAAUUGAAUAAUAGACGAAGGUCCGUGUUUUUAAUCGCGUAUUGUAUUUUGUGUAUCAGCUUUCGUCUGUAUUUAUAAAAGAACAGAAUUCGAAGCAGGAAAUAGUAAAGAAUGAGAGACAAUCUUGCAUGCAGUUUCUGAAGAAUUUGUUAGAAAGAGUGGAAUUGAACGAAAAGAGGGUGUCUUAUCAUUUGAAGGAUCUAUGGGCAAUCUUUAAAAAAAGAGAAAUUGGUACAAAAGAUACUUAAUUUAAUUAGUAACAAUGCUGGAGAAAAAAGAGGAGAAAAAUAACAAGAUUUAAGAAAAACUAACUGAUAGAAAUGAUAGAAAUAAGUGUCAAGUGGCAUGAAAGAUGUCAGAGAAAAAAUCCAAGCCACGAAUGUGAGAACAGAAUUUCAUAUUUAUUCAUUCAAUUUUUAUCUGUCAAUAUGGAUUAUUUCAAUUUUAAUAGAUGAAUACAUUCAAGGGAAGGGAAACACAAAUUAGAUUUAGAUCUUGGAUGAUAUCAAUUAAUCUCUGUUCACAAGAAUUUAAAAAGAAAAAAAACAUACGAGGAAUAACGAGAGGCAUUCAAUAUAUAUAAACUAAUAAACAAGUAAAAAUUUUAUAUUUGGAGAUUAGCCUUCGGGAAAUUGUUCUUAUUAGGCAAUAGACGAGCAGAUACUGAAAAUUGAAGAUAAUAGCAGAACUCAUCUCUUUUAUGAAGAAUAAUCCACGCGAUAAACCAAAUCAUUACCUCUCGACAUUUCCAUCGAAUUCAAUCUUCCCUUUUCUUCUAAUAUUUUUAUUAUAUUUAACAAGAAGUGGUUGAAAUCUGAUUCAGGAAAUUCGAAUCCAAAACUGCGAAAUUUCGAAACAGUUUCUUCUUUUUUAAUUAAUUGCUUUUAAAUUGAAUUUUAAUAAAUUUUAAUUUCUGAAAUUUUUCAAAUUCGCAAUUAAUCAACGGCAAUAGUAAUCAAUAAACAUUCCAUCAGAAGAUAAAUUUAAUUCAUUUGUCGAUUUCCUACGAUUGCCACGAGUGGAUAAAAGCACGAUACGUUAGGCCGAGAAAGGGAAUUGUUGUUUCUUUCAAGAGGAAACUUGAAAUCCGAUUAAAAGCUUGGAAGGAGUGGGAGGAAUGGAUGGCAAACUUUCAACGUACUAUCCGACAACAUUUGCUUGCUCCGCCAUCGAGGCUUCGAUUCUUGAUCUGGGAGGAUGAACAGAAAUUAAGAAGAUGGAAUUAACUGGAAUGGCAGCCGAAAUUGUUCGCUUCGAUCAUUUUUUGGUUGAAAACGGGCCAAGGGGUCGACGUAAACGAUGGACAAAACUUUAUUUACCGGGACGAGGAUCCGACUCUUCGAUGAUCUCGUCGACGAAACUUUCCCUAUAAAUCAAAUGGGGAGGAUAAUAAUAAAAAAAAAAGGAAAAAUAUACA
Molecule: RNA transcript, 8162 nt
Organism: Apis mellifera (honey bee)
Lineage: Eukaryota; Metazoa; Arthropoda; Insecta; Hymenoptera; Apidae
Gene: RhoGAPp190
Gene name: rho GTPase-activating protein 190
Exons: 29
Source: RefSeq, a predicted model, not a curated record